Molecule: non-coding RNA, 4554 nt
Organism: Paramisgurnus dabryanus
Lineage: Eukaryota; Metazoa; Chordata; Actinopteri; Cypriniformes; Cobitidae
Source: RefSeq, a predicted model, not a curated record
UCUCCGGAGUUGUCUAGUGUUAUUUCAUGUUUAAAGGAGUAGACGUUUCUGCAGUAUAUUUUAUGUUUAUUGUAUUUUAGUGUGGAUGUCCAUUUUCUUAUUUCAUUCCGGGGUGUGACUCGGGAAGAAAGAGUAGUUUCUUUAUACUUGAUUUCAAAAUAUAUUGAAAUGGAUAUUUGUUCUCGGUGAAUUGAUUACAAGAAGAGAUUGUUUCAUUUCUAACAAGAUUUAAGAGUAAGGAAGAGAAAACUGUGAACUUCUCAGCUCGGAGCGUAAUUUAGUUUCACUUUAGAAGCUGUGCUCUCAUUUUGGUUCCUUUCCGUGACGGGCUGGUAGUUUUACUUUCAUUUUGAAGAAAAAUACAACUGAAAGAAGUUAUAUGUUAUAGAUUGUCAAAGCCGAAAAGGGCGUACGGAAGAGAAAUACACCCAGUCCGAGAGAGAUAAUAGACGAAAAGUGUAGAAGUAGAGAGAUUCAAACGAUUACUGAUAUUUAAUAAUUUCGAUUGCAGUAGUGGAACAGGGUUUAAUAGAACUCAGCCGACUUUGUCUGAAACUAAGCCGUGGUUAUCAUAAAAGCAUAUGGUGCCUGUGAAUUGAUUGAGACGCGUAUUGGAUGGAUUGUUUCGAGCCGUAAUAAGAAUAUUGUAACUUUCAGGAAAACUUUAGAAAAUUAGUGAGAUCAGCAAGAGAUUUGAGAAGUGCUGGUUGUUUUAUGGAAAUUGACAUUUGAACGUGUGAUAAGAAAUAGAUGUUAUUGAUGUGAACUUUAAUUUCAAUUUUGACAAGUAUUGAAGGCCCUUACAUUUUUUUUUUAUUUUGGCAAAGCUUAUUUGUAGUUUCUAAUUUUAACAAGUAUUACACAAUAUUGAAUUUUUAUUGUUGAUAAAUUUUGUUUUUUACUUUAACCAGCAUUGCAUAUUCUUACAUUUUAAUUUUGAUAAAUUUUAUUUUUAACUUUAACCAGUAUGACAUAUUGUUACAUUUUUUAAUACGUCCUAAAUAUCAUUUCAUUUUUGAGAUUUUAAAUUUCUAAUUUGACAAGUUUUAUAGAAUGAAUGUAGUUUGAAUUCUGACAGGAGUUACAUAUUGCCAGAUUGAAUUUGAUUUAAGUUUUGACAACAUCUUGAAUCCUUUUUAACCGUCAUCAAGCAAGAGUUGAAUACCAUUACAUUUUCAUUUCAAGAAGAAGUAACAAUACUGAAUUUUAUUGUCUGGCAAUAGUAUUAAAGUGAACUUUAAUUUUAAUAAGAAGAGGUGAUUGUUGUUCGUUUGACUAAGAAAACACAGAAAAUAAUUUUGUGAGAAUUUUUGUGUAUUUACAGAAGGACUGACAGCAAAUAACAUUGAGAGGAAGAAUAAACGAGAUAUUCAGGGUAAGACAUAUUUUAGUGGAAGAUAACAUGAAGACUCUUAAAGAGCAAUGGGAGGCAGCCGUAGAACAGCUUUUGAGUGGGUUAGAAGAAAGAGAAAGGCUCAAAAAGACUCAGAAAUUGCAAGAAAUGUAUGAAGAAUGGAAACAACUUAAGGGUUACGAAGAUAGGACGAAGACAAGUUUGAAAGAGCAAGUAAUUGUUCAAGAAAGUGAAGCGCACAGGAAGUUUCAGAGAGAGGACAAAAAGGAAGUGGGGUUUCUAGCUAGAAAGAAGCAUGACAAGGAAGUGAAGAGACUACGUGAAGAGUUUCAUUUGUGGCAUAGUAUGGCAGUUAGUUGUGUGGCUUUGGUACAGUUGGAUAGAGAGAGACAAGAGACAGAAAAGAAAGUAGAAAUAAAAAAGAGUGACCUUAAAGAGAAGGAAGCAAACAAAAUUCAAGAGGGGAGGGAAAUAGCAUCCAUAUAUCCAGCACUGCCACCCACUGCUCCACCUCCAUAUGCCCCGCCCCAUACACAGUUGCCAGUAUUUGAAGUACAAAAGGGUGUGUUGGACAUGGAGCAGCGGGAGGGAAAUCGCUGGAAAAUAAAAUCAGGGAAAUUAAAUUUAAUAACAGAAAACGAGACAGAGGAGAGAGAAAUAGCACGAGAAACAGCUGAAUUGAUGAGAACACAUAGAGAGCAAGCGGCACAGGCAGAACAGAAGAUGGCAGCUCUGGAGAAAGAACUGAGGGAACAAUGGAAUAGCGUAGUACAGGAAAGGACAUUUCAACCCGGAGCACAAAGCACCCCAGGAGAAACAUUGAGUAGCAGAUUCAUAACAGUGGACGAGACUGGGAGUCAGAUAGAGGUUGAAGAACAGGGAACAUAUCCAGUUGAAAUCAGAGGAGAAAUGAAGGUGGGUAAGAGGAUGAAAGAGGAGAGCAGAUAUAACUACAGUAUACAGACACCAAAGAAAGAACAGGAAGAAGAUGAACAGGAAUGUAGGGAACUACAUCUCAUUCGUAGGGUACCUAAUAUCUGCCCCCUAGUGGAGACAAGUGGAAAGGUAGAAUACAAACCAUGGUCAUUCACAGACAUGGGAGCUAUCCUUGCAAAGCUACCUCAUAUCACGAGUGGUGGGGGUAAAUGGAUAGGGAAGGUAAUAACUUUGACACAAGGGCAUACGUUGGCGAUCGGAGACCUUAGAGCAUUAUUGGGACAGGUACUGACCGUAGGACAGAUUACGGAAAUUGAGCGAGAGGCAGGAACGGUAGGAUUAUAUGAUGACUAUCCAUACUGUCGAGUUGCAUCAGAUUGGGGAAAGGCACUGCGAAAGCUGUACCCAGCGCCAGCAGGCACCCUUUACAAUAUAAAAUUUUCUCCAAAAGGGGAAGAAACAGCAGCAGCAUAUCUGAGUCGAUGCAAAGGAGAGUGGGAAGAGCAAACAGGGGCUCAUCCACAUUCAGAUAGAAUACAGGAACAGAUGUUCAGAGCUGCUGUAUUGGAAGGGACUCCUAAAUCUGUACAGGAUGAAAUAAAAGCCAACCCCGACUUACCAGGUGCUUUAUGUGAGGUUUGGGAACGACAUUUCCUUCAUCACAUGUCUAGGGCGAACGAAAAAGAAAAAGAAAAGGUAGGGGAAGUAGAGGAAUUGAAAAAACAGUUGCUAAAAUUACAGUUGCAGGAAGCAAGAUCUAAAUUAAAUGAAGAAAAAGGGAAAAAGAAGGAUAUACAAAUGGUAGUUCAGGAGAUGAAAGCCCCUCCAAGAUAUAACAAAGAACAGGAAGUUGACCCAUCAAAUGUUAUAUGGGAGAGAACCACCCAAAGACCAAUGUAUUACUCCAAUAGAGGUAGGGGUGGGGAUUACAAUAGGGGGAGGGGAAGAGUGCAGUAUCAGGAAGGGUGUUUCCGUUGUGGUCGUCCGGGACACUUCGUCCGUGAUUGUCGGCAACCUGAACUCGGAGCCCAACAGAGACCGUCUCGGGGCAGAGGCCAUAACCCACACAUGGCCCCUAACGUGGAAAAAGCACCACGAGCACACUCGCAGUACCCUUUGUCCACUGGAGGGGAAAGGGAGUGGUACUGAGACAGCCCACGGAACGACCUCAGCAGGGUCAGGGCGGAACCCUUGCUGACUUUGGAGACGAAACCACUGAAGUAAGGGGGUUUUCCGGGGCUAUAACUAGACUGCCAUUCUCCAAAGAACUCACAGUGCAGUGCAUGAAAAAACAAUCACUGACUCACUCUUUUCUGCUGUCAUAUUCCUCACCGACAAAUUUGUUGGGAAGAGACUUGCUAGUGAAACUUGGAGCUGAAAUCCUAUGCAGCCCGGAGGGGAUUAUAGUAACUGUGAAAAAUGGUAUCACCAUGAACUGUUCCAUCAUGUCCACAAUGAGAACACAUGGACAAUGGUUACUUUCUGCAAACACCUCUCCACAGGGAGCUGACAUUUACUGGGGGAGGGUGCUUCUGGGGGACACAGGUAACACCCUGAAAGAUCUGUACUCUCAAUGGGAACCUUGGAUAUUGUCAUUAGCGCCAUACACCCAGCUAAUAGAUCCACUGCAUGUCACUCUGUUUUAUGAUAGAACACAAGAGUACUGGUACCAAGAACAAUUUGAUAACAUUGCAGGAGAACAGUGGGAAAUUUUUGGGGCAGGAAUACUGAUAGGCAAAGAGGGAGUGGCAGGUAUUGUAGAACUUACCCCCGAACAGGAACAAUGGUAUAAAAUGAGGGAAGAGGCAUCACCCCAUAUAUCAUUGUUAGUACACCCCCAACACCAAGCUAAAGAUCUAGGACCAAUGGUAAAGAAGGGAAUACACUUAACAGAUUGGAGGGAAACCCAACUUCCUGGUGUAAAAUAUUCAUCUAGCUCAGGGUAUUAUUUGAUCACACAGGAAACAAAAGACACUAUAGUGUUGGAACACGAAUGGCUCACAAGAUGGCAUGGUAGGGAGAAAAGUGAUCAUGAAGAUGCUGAAACAAUGUUGAAAAGUUUGCCCGACCAGUUAUGGACUCAGAGUCCCACAGAUGUAGGGUUUUGUAAAAAUUACCCAGAAAUUUCGUUCGAGCUGACAUGUGAUGAUCCAAUUUGGAGGCCUCAGUAUAAGCACAAACCAAAGGCAGAGGAAGGUAUCAAAGAUACCAUUGAAGGUUUGUUAACCGCAGGGGUUUUAGAGUAUGCUGAUUCCAAUUGGAAC